This 472-nucleotide ribosomal RNA is filed under the name uncultured bacterium. RNAcentral describes it as "partial 16S ribosomal RNA". It matches the Rfam family "Bacterial small subunit ribosomal RNA", at positions 30 to 507 of the family's 1533-position model. The record is from RNAcentral.
AGUGAACGCUGGCGGUAGGCUUAACACAUGCAAGUCGAACGGCAGCACAGUAAGAGCUUGCUCUUACGGGUGGCGAGUGGCGGACGGGUGAGGAGUACAUCAGAAUCUACUGUUUCGUGGGGGAGAACGUAGGGAAACUUACGCUAAUACCUCCUACGACCUACGGGUUAAAGCAGUGGAGCUUCGGACCUUGUGGGAUUGAAUGAGCCCAUGGCUGAUUAGCUAGUUGGGGGGGUAACGGCCCACCAAGGCGACGAUCGGUAGCCGGCCUGAGAGGAUGACCAGGGACACGGGUACUAAGAGAGGGAGCAGUGUGGAAUGUUGGGCAACGGGCGGGAGUCUGAUCCAGCGAUACCGCGUGGGUGACGGCGACGUUGGGGGUGUGAAGACGGUUUGUUGGGUGAGAACAGCAGCCGGUUAAGACGAAGCGGGAGUGACGGUACCCAAAGAAUAAGCACCGGCUAACUUCGUG